This 270-nucleotide non-coding RNA is filed under the name Gossypium arboreum. RNAcentral's name for it is "Eukaryotic large subunit ribosomal RNA". It matches the Rfam family "Eukaryotic large subunit ribosomal RNA", at positions 24 to 208 of the family's 3401-position model. Lineage: Eukaryota; Viridiplantae; Streptophyta; Magnoliopsida; Malvales; Malvaceae. The record is from Rfam by way of RNAcentral.
CCCGCUGAGUUUAAGCAUAUCAAUAAGCGGAGGAAAAGAAACUUACCAGGAUUCCCCUAGUAACGGCGAGCGAACCGGGAAAAGCCCAGCUUGAGAAUCGGGCGCCACCGGCGUUCGAAUUGUAGUCUGGAGAAGCGUCCUCAGCGGCGGACCGGGCCCAAAAGAUGAAUUCCUUGUUUUCUUCACCCAUUUUCUAUUUUUAAUAUCCUUAUUCUAUAUUAUAAAGCCAUAUAAUAGAAAAAAUGCUAACAUAAAAUAUAUAUUAUAUAA